GACGUACGCUGGCGGCGUGCUUAACACAUGCAAGUCGAACGGAAAGGCCCUGCUUUUGUGGGGUGCUCGAGUGGCGAACGGGUGAGUAACACGUGAGUAACCUGCCCUUGACUUUGGGAUAACUUCAGGAAACUGGGGCUAAUACCGGAUAGGAGCUCCUGCUGCAUGGUGGGGGUUGGAAAGUUUCGGCGGUUGGGGCUGGACUCGCGGCUUAUCAGCUUGUUGGUGGGGUAGUGGCUUACGAAGGCUUUGACGGAUAGCCGGCCUGAGAGGGUGACCGGCCACAUUGGGACUGAGAGACGGCGCAGACUCCUACGGGAGGCAGCAGUGGGGAAUAUGGCACAAUGGGCGGAAGCCUGAGGCAGCAACGCCGCGUGCGGGAUGACGGCCUUCGGGUUGUAAACCGCUUUCGCCUGUGACGAAGCGUGAGUGACGGUAAUGGGUAAAGAAGCACCGGCUAACUACGUG
Molecule: ribosomal RNA, 468 nt
Filed under: uncultured bacterium
Lineage: Bacteria
Description: partial 16S ribosomal RNA
Rfam family: Bacterial small subunit ribosomal RNA
Source: RNAcentral